This 82-nucleotide transfer RNA is filed under the name Gemmatimonadaceae bacterium. RNAcentral describes it as "tRNA-Leu". It matches the Rfam family "tRNA". From Rfam's summary of the family: Transfer RNA (tRNA) molecules are approximately 80 nucleotides in length. Their secondary structure includes four short double-helical elements and three loops (D, anti-codon, and T loops). The record is from RNAcentral. Lineage: Bacteria; Pseudomonadati; Gemmatimonadota; Gemmatimonadia; Gemmatimonadales; Gemmatimonadaceae.
GCCGACGUGGUGGAACUGGUAGACACGCCAGACUUAGGAUCUGGUACCUCACGGUGUCCGGGUUCGAGUCCCGGCGUUGGCA